Long non-coding RNA from Drosophila obscura, 1081 nucleotides. RefSeq lists it as uncharacterized. The transcript is spliced from 3 exons. The record is from RefSeq and is a predicted model, not a curated record. Lineage: Eukaryota; Metazoa; Arthropoda; Insecta; Diptera; Drosophilidae.
CAGGCCGGGCGGCGGUGCAUAAAUAAAUAAUGCAAAAAACGAUCGACGAUAAAAAUGUUGGCAAUGGCAAAACAGAAAAAGGAAUAUCACAGUCCUUUCGUCUAGGUGUUCACUCCUUCCUUCUCUCUAUAUUGUAUAUUUUUGUAAGCCUCGAAAUCUACCGGCGUUUCUCAGUGGAGCAGGAGGUGGAGGUGCCUCUGCGGGCUAUAUAGAAGCCGACGCCAGCGACACUGACACCGACACCGACACCAACACCGACCCAUCGACGAAGCCAGCGGCGACAACGAAAGCUCCAGAGAGACGACGGACGAGGAGACGAUCAACAGGGCGGGGGAGGGGUAAUGCUCGGCGGUGUCGCUCACUCGGUCGAGUCGCUCUGCGGGCCCGCGCCACCGAUGUUCGUAUAAACUUUAAUAAAUAUUAUUACUACUACUAUGCCUCUGUCGCUGUCGCUGUCGCUGCUGCUGUUGCUGCUGCUGCUGCUGUUGUAUUACCUGCUGCACUCGGACGCACUCGUACUCGUCGUCUUGGCAAAAUAUUGUUAACAGUUAACAGUUGAUACAACAGUUCGGAUCGGAUCGGAUCGGCGGUUGCUUUCGCGCCUCGGAUCAUUUCGGAUCGCUGCUGCUGCUUCGUACCCUCCUCUUAUCGGCGGAGAUUAAGCGCUCCCAUACGACUGCUACAUAGAUUUUUCAAAGAUUGCAAAGAGUUGAAGCACUUCAGCAAUAGGAAAUCUCAAACAUAAUCGGGGAUUAUCGGAAGGGGUGAGGCGUGGAGACAAAAUGAAGAGAGAAUUAAGGGAGCAUUUAAUGAGAAAUAAAUACAUAAUUAAGUGGAGAUACACUCUCUGUAGAUAUGGCAUGAAGUGAUGUUGUACAUCAACUCAAUUUCAGAAGCAGAAACACAGGAAACUGUUCGGAAAUUCUAUACUAUAUAUUGGUUUUUUUUUUUUUUUUUAUCAAAAUUAUAUGACUAUUCUUUGGGAUAGUAUAGAAUAUUAUUUGGGAUUAGUAAUAAAAAUAGUAGUCAAAAAUUCAAAAAUUCCAUGCCAUUAAAUUUAGAAUAUUUAUUCCUUUUCUUA